CUAGAUUUGAAAAGAGUCGAAACCUGAUAACAUCGUGGAAAAAAAGAAACUUAACCAUUUUAGGUAAAAUUCUAAUAGUUAAAACUCUCAUUAUACCACAAUUUACUUUUUUAGCAAAUGUUACAGCUUUAAGUAACUCAAAAAUAGUUGAUAUAGAAAGAGAAAUUUUUUUAGUUUCAUAUGGAAUAAUAAGAAAAGACAAAGUUAAAAGACAUACUUUGGUAGCAGAUUACAACCAGGGAGGGCUUAAAAUGACCGACAUAAAAAGCUACUUCUCCUCUCUUCAAAUAAGAUGGGUCUCUAGAUUGCUACAGGCAAAACAAGAAAAUUGGACAUUGAUACCAAAAUUAUUUUUAAGUAAAUUAGGUUCUAAUUUCCUCAUUUUUAGAAUGAAUUUAAA
This 400-nucleotide long non-coding RNA is filed under the name Mytilus galloprovincialis (Mediterranean mussel). The record is from RNAcentral. Lineage: Eukaryota; Metazoa; Mollusca; Bivalvia; Mytilida; Mytilidae.